GGUUCGUUGGUCUAGUGGUUAUGACGCCUGCUUUACACGCAGGAUGCCGUGGGUUCAAUCCCCACACGAAUCA
This 73-nucleotide transfer RNA is filed under the name Cylindrobasidium torrendii FP15055 ss-10. Its description in RNAcentral is "tRNA-Val (TAC) (tRNA-Val-TAC-2-1)". It matches the Rfam family "tRNA". From Rfam's summary of the family: Transfer RNA (tRNA) molecules are approximately 80 nucleotides in length. Their secondary structure includes four short double-helical elements and three loops (D, anti-codon, and T loops). Further hydrogen bonds mediate the characteristic L-shaped molecular structure. tRNAs have two regions of fundamental functional importance: the anti-codon, which is responsible for specific mRNA codon recognition, and the 3' end, to which the tRNAs corresponding amino acid is attached (by aminoacyl-tRNA synthetases). tRNAs cope with the degeneracy of the genetic code in two manners: having more than one tRNA (with a specific anti-codon) for a particular amino acid; and 'wobble' base-pairing, i.e. permitting non-standard base-pairing at the 3rd anti-codon position. The record is from RNAcentral. Lineage: Eukaryota; Fungi; Basidiomycota; Agaricomycetes; Agaricales; Physalacriaceae.